AUGACCCAGGGCUACGGUCUGCCGCACAUCGCCCUCUACUUCUCCAAGACGAUGUGGUCCGAGGGCUACUCCUUGACCCCGGCCAACCUCCGCCCCGAACUCCGCAAGAUCUGGCCCGACGGUGGCCACGACUACAGCCACUUCUGCGGCGUGAUGGAGGAGUUCCACAAGGAGAAGCGCGCGCUGGCUAACAAGCUGAUGCAGCUGUUCCUCGUAGCGCUCGGGUUCCCCGCCACGCAGAUCGCCGGCGUCGAGGCGGAGCACAAACUCACCGAGACCAUGACCGAGACAAUACACCUCAACAGGUACAUAGUACUGCCUAUCCGUUUGAGCACCUAA
This 339-nucleotide ribosomal RNA is filed under the name Triticum aestivum (bread wheat). Its description in RNAcentral is "partial small subunit ribosomal RNA". Lineage: Eukaryota; Viridiplantae; Streptophyta; Magnoliopsida; Poales; Poaceae. The record is from RNAcentral.